UUACAGCCAUAUCAUGUUGAAACAUUGGUUCUCAUCACAUCACCAAAGUUAAGAAACAUUGAACCUGGUCAGUACCUAGAUGGGUGACCAUGUGAGAAUACCAGAUAUUGUAAG
Molecule: non-coding RNA, 114 nt
Organism: Acanthosepion pharaonis
Lineage: Eukaryota; Metazoa; Mollusca; Cephalopoda; Sepiida; Sepiidae
Source: the annotation of a GenBank genome assembly